RNAcentral lists this long non-coding RNA (330 nucleotides) under Helianthus annuus (common sunflower). RNAcentral's name for it is "sRNA HanXRQr2_Chr01g0041191". The record is from RNAcentral. Lineage: Eukaryota; Viridiplantae; Streptophyta; Magnoliopsida; Asterales; Asteraceae.
UUCACAGCCACACCAUCAACAAAGCCUCCCACCUGAUCAAGCUUAACUCGUUGCCCGUGAUGCAAUGACAAAGCCAUUGCAUUUGCAUCAGCGGGCUCCACUCCAAUGAUCCGAACCUAUGUAUCAUGUGAAACCCUCUUCACAUAGGCCGCGAUACCAGCUAUCAAGCCACCACCACCCACGGGUACGAAAAUGGCAUGGAUUUGGCCUUUAGAUUGGCGCAUGAUCUCCAUUCCUAUCGUUCCUUGACCAGAGAUUACAUCUGGAUGAUCGGAAGAAGGAAUGAAGGUGCGAUUCUCUCUUACGCCCCUAUUCUUGGCGUAAGCUUGU